RNAcentral lists this ribosomal RNA (117 nucleotides) under Salmonella enterica. RNAcentral describes it as "partial 23S ribosomal RNA". It matches the Rfam family "Bacterial large subunit ribosomal RNA", at positions 2798 to 2925 of the family's 2925-position model. RNAcentral also lists the same sequence under 1 other name. Lineage: Bacteria; Pseudomonadati; Pseudomonadota; Gammaproteobacteria; Enterobacterales; Enterobacteriaceae. The record is from RNAcentral.
CCUGAGACUUUAGGUCUCCUGAAGGAACGUUGAAGACGACGACGUUGAUAGGCCGGGUGUGUAAGCGCAGCGAUGCGUUGAGCUAACCGGUACUAAUGAACCGUGAGGCUUAACCUU